Molecule: ribosomal RNA, 297 nt
Filed under: uncultured bacterium
Lineage: Bacteria
Description: partial 16S ribosomal RNA
Rfam family: Bacterial small subunit ribosomal RNA
Source: RNAcentral
GACGAACGCUGGCGGCGUGCUUAACACAUGCAAGUCGAGCGAGGCUCCCUCUUCGGGGGGAUGCCCUAGCGGCGAACGGGUGAGUAACACGUGGGCAACCUGCCCCUAGCUCUGGGAUAACCCCGGGAAACCGGGGCUAAUACCGGAUAUGACCACGGAAGGCAUCUUUUGUGGUUGUAAAGGGUUUCUGGCUAGGGAUGGGCCCGCGGCCUAUCAGCUUGGUUGGUGGGGUAAUGGGCCUACCAAGGCGACGACGGGUAGCCGGCCUGAGAGGGCGACCGGCCACACUGGGACUGA